GGCGGAAUAGCUCAGUUGGCUAGAGCACUUGGUUCAUACCCAAGGUGUCGAGAGUUCGAAUCUCCCUUCCGCUACCA
RNAcentral lists this transfer RNA (77 nucleotides) under Clostridia bacterium. Its description in RNAcentral is "tRNA-Met". It matches the Rfam family "tRNA". Rfam says of the family: Transfer RNA (tRNA) molecules are approximately 80 nucleotides in length. The record is from RNAcentral. Lineage: Bacteria; Bacillati; Bacillota; Clostridia.